GGAAUUUUCCGCAAUGGGCGAAAGCCUGACGGAGCAACGCCGCGUGUGGGAUGACGCUUUUCGGAGUGUAAACCACUGUUCGUGGGGACGAAGCACUGACGGUACCCACGGAGGAAGGCCCGGCUAACUACGUGCCAGCAGCCGCGGUAAUACGUAGGGGUCGAGCGUUGUCCGGAGUUACUGGGCGUAAAGCGCAUGCAGGCGGCUCAUUACGCACGGCGUGAAAGCCCCCGGCUCAACCGGGGAGGGU
RNAcentral lists this ribosomal RNA (250 nucleotides) under uncultured bacterium. RNAcentral describes it as "partial 16S ribosomal RNA". It matches the Rfam family "Bacterial small subunit ribosomal RNA", at positions 358 to 623 of the family's 1533-position model. The record is from RNAcentral.